GUGGCAAAAUGAGCCCAAUCGUUGAAAAGAAAAAUAAUAAAAUCCAAUUAUACUCCAUCAUGGUAAAUAAAUAAUUAAUUAAUGUGGAAGCCACACAUUUCAAAAAGUUGAAAAAAAAUAUAACUACUUCAAAUCCCUUCCAACACAAAUCCCUAACAUUUUUAAUCCUUGCAAUCUUCCCUUCGUCCACCCACCUCUCACUGGCGCUCCCGCAAUCAUCGCUACCCAUCUUUAUUUCUUCCCCCUACUUUCUGCCCGUGUCUCGCUCUUUAUGCUCUACUCCUUCAACAAUCAAAGCGAGGGUGGUGAUGGUGGUGGAAGGAUCUGUUUUGGAGCAAAGUAGUUUUGAUGCCUUCAUAGUCGCAAGUUAGACGCUCAGCCAGCUCCUUUCAUAUUCCCUCACUCGAUUCUCCAUUGCUCGCCAGAAAUCUGAUGACACUUACAACUCUUUGUCCAUCACUGUUAAGCACUAUGGGAGACAGAUGCCCAUUACAGGUUCUUUAGGAACAAUCAACACAGAUCUGAUUCCUCGAUUGUGAUAUAGAGGUUCCAAAGAUGAUGCGAUGCAUAGAAAAAAGUGUGGGCCCCACUUCUUUAGCGGGCAAUUGGCAAUAGCUUGAAAAGGCAAUAAAUCGAAAAGAGGAUUAAUUUGAAAUUCCUCCAAUUUCUGCAAAUUUGAAAUGAAAGGGGAUUUUCUUAAGGCGCCUCAAAUGCCCAUUUUGGAUUGCAACUUUGGCGUCGACACCCAUCGUCGGCAGCGGCGCUUCAAUGACCUUGAGACAUAGAGAGAAUGAGAAGGUAUUUUCAUGUGGUUCUAGAAUCAAAGAUGAGUUUGGAAGAGAUGUGGAGGUCAAAACGUGAAGAAUACAGGGCCAGAAGCAGUACAUGGGCCGUGUAACCUGCCCCGUGUAACUUCCUGGUCCCCGUGUAACGCUCUGGACUGAAGAAAACAUGAAAAAUGAAGUGGCAAAAAUUUACACGGGGCGUGUAUCACUACACGGCCAGUGUAAAGUCGCCUGACAGCAAUUCUGAUGCGACUUUUCUUCGCUCCAACUCGACCCGAAUGGACUCCUAUUGCUUCUAGAACUCUGAAAUUAUGGUUUUUACACUAGAUAUAAAUAGAACAAGUCAGGAAUUGAAGGAGGGGAGAGAAUUUACAUCCAAAGAGGAGAAUUAACAUUCAAGAGUCGAUUUACAUUUAAGGAGGCACAUCAACCUCAAGGGAGGUAAGGGAGAAACAAGAUCUGCAAGAUUGCUAGAAGGAAUUUUCAGCUGAAGUUCCAAAAGUCUAAGGCUGCAACUCUUUUUCUGAGUUCUUUCACUCUAUUUCCUUCUCAUGUCUUCUCUUUAUCUUUUUAUAAACUUGAUUGUAAAGUUCACCAUGGGUAAGUAGGUUCUUUAUUCUAGGGUUAGGGUGUAGCACUCAAUUUCAUUAUAGAUCUGGUUUGAUUUUUAUUUAAUACACUGGGUAUUUUAUUCUUUGAUUCAA
Long non-coding RNA from Hevea brasiliensis (rubber tree), 1489 nucleotides. RefSeq lists it as uncharacterized. Lineage: Eukaryota; Viridiplantae; Streptophyta; Magnoliopsida; Malpighiales; Euphorbiaceae. The transcript is spliced from 2 exons. The record is from RefSeq and is a predicted model, not a curated record.